UUUCCGUAGGUGAACCUGCGGAAGGAUCAUUAAUGAGUUGUGAAUGAAGGUGUUUUUGUCUUUCGUAGCCAGCGAGUGUUCCACGCAAGCCAUCUUACACCUGUGCAACUGUCCGGGAAGACUUGGAUCAAAGUAGGAUCACGACGGCGAACUACAGUCACUAAUCUAUACAAAAUAAAAGUUUUAGAAACGCAUUUUUUCUUGAUGGAACCUUAGAUAAAUACAACUUUCAGCAACGGAUCUCUUGUCUCUCCCAGCGAUGUACAGCGCAGCAGAAUG
RNAcentral lists this unclassified non-coding RNA (279 nucleotides) under plant metagenome. RNAcentral's name for it is "partial contains small subunit ribosomal RNA, internal transcribed spacer 1, and 5.8S ribosomal RNA". The record is from RNAcentral.